AACGAGGCCGACCUGCGGCUGAGUUACCUGCGGAAGGAUCAUUAAAAAGAGUGUGUACCCCUCUGUAAAAUGAGUGGGUUACCUCCCGUCCUUUGUUGACCUCUUAGGAGGUUAUUUUGAACUUUCUGCUUCGGUGGGGUUAAACCUACCGGAACACCCUCAAAUUCUUAUCAUUUAAAAAUUGUUCAGUCUGAUUUUUGUUAAUAAAAACAAAAAACUUUCAACAACGGAUCUCAGAUC
This 240-nucleotide unclassified non-coding RNA is filed under the name soil metagenome. RNAcentral describes it as "partial contains 5.8S ribosomal RNA, internal transcribed spacer 2, and large subunit ribosomal RNA". The record is from RNAcentral.